CCUACGGGUGGCAGCAGUGAGGAAUAUUGGUCAAUGGGCUUACGCCUGAACCAGCCAAGUCGCGUGAGGGAAGACUGCCCUAUGGGUUGUAAACUUCUUUUCUCAGGGACGAAGCAAGUGACGGUACCUGAGGAAUAAGCCACGGCUAACUACGUGCAAGCAGCCGCGGUAAUCAGUAGGUGGCAGGCGUUAUCCGGAUUUACUGGGUGUAAAGGGCGUGUAGGGGGGACUGCAAGUCAGAUGUGAAAACCACGGGCCCAACCUGUGGCCUGCAUUUGAAACUGUCGUUCUUGAGUACUGGAGAGGCAGACGGAAUGCCUAGUGUAGCGGUGAAAUGCGUAGAUAUUAGGAGGAACACCAGUGGCGAAGGCGGUCUGCUGGACAGCAACUGACGCUGAGGCGCGAAAGCGUGGGGAUCAAACAGGAUUAGAUACCCCAGUAGUC
This 444-nucleotide ribosomal RNA is filed under the name uncultured bacterium. RNAcentral's name for it is "partial 16S ribosomal RNA". It matches the Rfam family "Bacterial small subunit ribosomal RNA", at positions 338 to 795 of the family's 1533-position model. The record is from RNAcentral.